CCCCUUGCUCAAAUUUGAAAUCUUCAAGGGUUUCCCUUUACGAAUUGUAGUUUAAAGAAGUGUUUUCUGUUGAGGUUUUGGUAAAAGUUCUUUGGAAUAGGACAUCGUAGAGGGUGAGAAUCCCGUAUUUGACCUUUACUUUCA
Molecule: ribosomal RNA, 144 nt
Filed under: uncultured Neocallimastigomycetes
Lineage: Eukaryota; Fungi; Neocallimastigomycota; Neocallimastigomycetes
Description: partial large subunit ribosomal RNA
Source: RNAcentral